Molecule: transfer RNA, 85 nt
Filed under: Chloroflexota bacterium
Lineage: Bacteria; Bacillati; Chloroflexota
Also listed under: 1 other name
Description: Chloroflexi bacterium tRNA-Leu
Rfam family: tRNA
About the family: Transfer RNA (tRNA) molecules are approximately 80 nucleotides in length. Their secondary structure includes four short double-helical elements and three loops (D, anti-codon, and T loops).
Source: RNAcentral
GCCCGGGUGGCGGAACGGAUUACGCGUCGGCCUUAGGAGCCGAUGGGGCGCAAGUCCCGUGUGGGUUCGAGUCCCACCCCGGGCA